This 860-nucleotide ribosomal RNA is filed under the name uncultured bacterium. Its description in RNAcentral is "bacterial SSU rRNA". It matches the Rfam family "Bacterial small subunit ribosomal RNA", at positions 524 to 1380 of the family's 1533-position model. The record is from RNAcentral.
UACGUAGGGAGCAAGCGUUGUUCGGAAUUUAUUGGGCGUAAAGAGCGCGUAGGCGGCCGUGUAAGUCUGAUGUGAAAUCCCACAGCUCAACUGUGGAACUGCAGUGGAAACUGCUUGACUAGAGUGCGGGAGAGGAGAAUGGAAUUCCCAGUGUAGAGGUGAAAUUCGUAGAUAUUGGGAGGAACCCCAGUAGCGAAGGCGGCUCUCUGGACCGCACCUGACGGUGAGGCGCGAAAGCUAGGGGAGCGAACGGGAUUAGAUACCCCGGUAGUCCUAGCCGUAAACGAUGGGCACUAGGUGUGGGUGGUAUCGACCCCUUUUGUACUGUAGCUAACGCAUUAAGUGCCCCGCCUGGGGAGUACGGUCGCAAGACUAGAACUCAAAGGAAUUGACGGGGGCCCGCACAAGCGGUGGAGCAUGUGGUUUAAUUUGACGCAACGCGAAGAACCUUACCUGGGUUUGACAUCCCGCGAAGGUAACAGAAAUGUUGCCGUCCCUUCGGGGACGCGGAGACAGCUGGUGCAUGGCGGUCGUCAGCUCGUGUCGUGAGGUGUUGGGUUAAGUCCUGCAACGAGCGCAACCCUUGUCCUUAGUUGCCAGCACGUAAUGGUGGGACCUUUAAGGAGACCGCCGGGGACAAACCGGAGGAAGGUGGGGAAGACGUCAAGUCAUCAUGGCCCUUACGGCCAGGGCUACCCACGUACUACAAUGGUAGGGACAGAGGGGUGCAAGCCGGCGACGGUAAGCCAAUCCCAGAAACCCUAUCUCAGUCCGGAUUGGAGUUUGCAACUUGACUCCCAGAAGUCGGAAUCGCUAGUAAUCGCAGAUCAGCAUUGCCGCGGUGAACACGUUCCCGGGCC